This 573-nucleotide ribosomal RNA is filed under the name Bacillus sp. (in: firmicutes). RNAcentral describes it as "bacterial SSU rRNA". It matches the Rfam family "Bacterial small subunit ribosomal RNA", at positions 747 to 1320 of the family's 1533-position model. Lineage: Bacteria; Bacillati; Bacillota; Bacilli; Caryophanales; Bacillaceae. The record is from RNAcentral.
UGAGGAGCGAAAGCGUGGGGAGCGAACAGGAUUAGAUACCCUGGUAGUCCACGCCGUAAACGAUGAGUGCUAAGUGUUAGGGGGUUUCCGCCCCUUAGUGCUGCAGCUAACGCAUUAAGCACUCCGCCUGGGGAGUACGGUCGCAAGACUGAAACUCAAAGGAAUUGACGGGGGCCCGCACAAGCGGUGGAGCAUGUGGUUUAAUUCGAAGCAACGCGAAGAACCUUACCAGGUCUUGACAUCCUCUGACAACCCUAGAGAUAGGGCUUUCCCUUCGGGGACAGAGUGACAGGUGGUGCAUGGUUGUCGUCAGCUCGUGUCGUGAGAUGUUGGGUUAAGUCCCGCAACGAGCGCAACCCUUGAUCUUAGUUGCCAGCAUUCAGUUGGGCACUCUAAGGUGACUGCCGGUGACAAACCGGAGGAAGGUGGGGAUGACGUCAAAUCAUCAUGCCCCUUAUGACCUGGGCUACACACGUGCUACAAUGGACAGAACAAAGGGCUGCGAGACCGCAAGGUUUAGCCAAUCCCACAAAUCUGUUCUCAGUUCGGAUCGCAGUCUGCAACUCGACUGCG